This 498-nucleotide ribosomal RNA is filed under the name uncultured bacterium. Its description in RNAcentral is "partial 16S ribosomal RNA". It matches the Rfam family "Bacterial small subunit ribosomal RNA", at positions 28 to 523 of the family's 1533-position model. The record is from RNAcentral.
GAUGAACGCUGGCGGCAUGCCUUACACAUGCAAGUCGAACGGUAACAGGUCUUCGGAUGCUGACGAGUGGCGAACGGGUGAGUAAUACAUCGGAACGUGCCUAGUAGUGGGGGAUAACUACUCGAAAGAGUGGCUAAUACCGCAUGAGAUCUACGGAUGAAAGCAGGGGAUCGCAAGAACUUGUGCUACUAAAGCGGCCGAUGGCAGAGUAGGUAGUUGGUGGGAUAAAAGCUUACCAAGCCGACGAUCUGUAGCUGGUCUGAGAGGACGAUCAGCCACACUGGGACUGAGACACGGCCCAGACUCCUACGGGAGGCAGCAGUGGGGAAUUUUGGACAAUGGGCGCAAGCCUGAUCCAGCAAUGCCGCGUGCAGGAUGAAGGCCUUCGGGUUGUAAACUGCUUUUGUACGGAACGAAAAGCCCCGGGUUAAUACCCUGGGGUCAUGACGGUACCGUAAGAAUAAGUACCGGCUAACUACGUGCCAGCCGCCGCCGUAA